AAGCCGCGGUAAUACGAAGGGGGCUAGCGUUGUUCGGAAUUACUGGGCGUAAAGCGCACGUAGGCGGACAUUUAAGUCAGGGGUGAAAUCCUGGAGCUCAACUCCAGAACUGCCUUCGAAACUGGGAGUCUUGAGUUCGGGAGAGGUGAGUGGAACUGCGAGUGUAGAGGUGAAAUUCGUAGAUAUUCGCAAGAACACCAGUGGCGAAGGCGGCUCACUGGCCCGAUACUGACGCUGAGGUGCGAAAGCGUGGGGAGCAAAC
This 262-nucleotide ribosomal RNA is filed under the name uncultured bacterium. Its description in RNAcentral is "partial 16S ribosomal RNA". It matches the Rfam family "Bacterial small subunit ribosomal RNA", at positions 512 to 773 of the family's 1533-position model. The record is from RNAcentral.